GUGACACAGACAUCUGUGGUGAGUGGCCGCUUCAUGGGUGAUCCUUCACACGAGUAUGAACACACCGAGCUCCAGAAGGUCAGCGAAGGUGACAAGGUCUUUGAUGAAGAAGUGGUGGAAUGCUGGGGUUCCAGGUGUGUGUCCCUGUAUGCAGGUAUCCAGCUCUGUUAUGUGUUCCAGGUUCUGAUAAUCAGGCUUGCAAGAAGCUGGCCAUUAAUUUGCUAUGUAGCUAAGGAUGACUUCCAACUUGACCUGGUUUAUGGGGUCCGAAGGACUGGACCCUAGACCUUGUAGAAGUUAAGCAAGUAUUCUUCCCACAGGACUGAAAGCUACCCCUGCUUCCCUAACUUGUUUUCUUAGAGACAGAAUCUUAUGUGGUCCUCGGUGGCCUGAAACCCUGUAUAUAAAUAAGCAUGAUCUUGAACUCCCGGUCCUUGUGCCUCCACUUCCUGAGUGUCAAGGCUACAGGUGUGUGCCAGCACAUGUGAUGGGGGGGGAUUUGAACCCAGAGCAUUGCAUGCAUUAGGUGAGAGCUACACCGACUGCUUUAUGAUUGUUUUCUUGCUCCAUAUUUUCAAACGCAGAAUAAAAAGCAUGGUGACUUG
RNAcentral lists this long non-coding RNA (605 nucleotides) under Rattus norvegicus (Norway rat). Its description in RNAcentral is "long non-coding RNA NONRATT029212". The record is from RNAcentral. Lineage: Eukaryota; Metazoa; Chordata; Mammalia; Rodentia; Muridae.